CCUACGGGUGGCUGCAGUGGGGAAUAUUGGACAAUGGGGGCAACCCUGAUCCAGCCAUGCCGCGUGUGUGAAGAAGGCCCUCGGGUUGUAAAGCACUUUCAGUGAGGAAGAACGCCUGGUGGUUAAUACCCAUCAGGAAAGACAUCACUCACAGAAGAAGCACCGGCUAACUCCGUGCCAGCAGCCGCGGUAAUACGGAGGGUGCGAGCGUUAAUCGGAAUUACUGGGCGUAAAGCGCGCGUAGGUGGCUUGAUAAGCCGGUUGUGAAAGCCCCGGGCUCAACCUGGGAACGGCAUCCGGAACUGUCAAGCUAGAGUGCAGGAGAGGAAGGUAGAGUUCCCGGUGUAGCGGUGAAAUGCGUAGAGAUCGGGAGGAAUACCAGUGGCGAAGGCGGCCUUCUGGACUGACACUGACACUGAGGUGCGAAAGCGUGGGUAGCAAACAGGAUUAGAUACCCCGGUAGUC
This 465-nucleotide ribosomal RNA is filed under the name Vreelandella stevensii. Its description in RNAcentral is "partial 16S ribosomal RNA". It matches the Rfam family "Bacterial small subunit ribosomal RNA", at positions 338 to 795 of the family's 1533-position model. The record is from RNAcentral. Lineage: Bacteria; Pseudomonadati; Pseudomonadota; Gammaproteobacteria; Oceanospirillales; Halomonadaceae.